GCUGUCUGGGCAUCGGCGCUGUCUGGGCAUCGGCGCUGUCUGGGCAUCUGCGCUGCGGCUGGAGGUACGGCUGGUCCUCUGCCUGCUGUCCACUGCCACCUUGGUCUGCUCUUGCCACCCUGGCGCCGCGAACUCUGUGCCGCCUCUCCCUUCACCCUGUCUUGGGACGGCCGGCGCUAAGAAUUCAUGCUAUGACCUUCGAUGCAGCCAGGAGGUGACACCAAACUCGAUCAGAAACCAUGCCACUGGUGAAGAGGUAUAUUGAGCCCUGCCUGGCCCAGUGAGGUUACUAGAGAAUUGGAAGAGACUCAAAUCAGCAUCCUGCACAUGGUUAUCAAACCAUUGUGAAGUCUUAAUUCCUGGGCAGCCUGAAACCUUGUCAUUGAGUCAAGAGCAACACUAAGACCUACCUGUCACUUAUCCUGAGGCUUCCUGCCCAGUGGGUUCACCAGCAAGCCAGAAUGAAGCAUCAUUGCCCUGGAUGUCCUUGUGAAGCCGUUAGGAAGUCUUGGCUGAAUUUUGAAGGAUAUCUUUGAAAAGUGUUUUAGAGAGUCUACCAGAUUUUCCAUGUGAGUGCAUGUGCAGCAGAAGAGGGGGUCUUCUCAGUGAUUAAGGUAACACAGUGAUUAAGGUUCAACCUUGGAAAUUCAGGCUCCUCAAUCUUCAGGUCUUCAUCCUCCAUUUGACUUUCCAUCUCGUCCACGGAGGAUUGCUGAGUUAAGUCAGGAAAGAAAACGGUCGUGCACAGAGGGAGAAUUGAUCACCAUCUGUUCUUCAAAGACACUUCUGUGGCAGUUGUUGGGGCUACUAGUGCUCACUGCCCUGACAGAGACCUGCUUCGACAGGCCCUUCAUAUUCAGAGUUUAACCACCUGGCUGGGAAAGCUGGCAGGCUUAUACAAUAAAUAAAUCCUCAUAAAAUUCUCAGCAAAGCAGAUGGGGCUGCUCAAUAUGUUGAAAAUGGAGUCCAGGGACCAUCGUCUUUAUAUAGAAAGUUCCAACUUGAGAUGCCUUUAUUAUUACAUCCAAGAAUCCUCUCCACUCUUUCCCUGGCUUCUCAUACCUGUGGGAUUGAUGGGCCAGCCUGUGUCCUACCAGUGUUUCCUGAGUAUUUAUCACUGUUCAAUUUGGGGGUUAAUGGGAGAAGGAUGGCGGAACUACGAUGGAUAAUCAAGUGUGUUAAGAUCUUAAAGAUUUUCUGUGGAUUUCGACGUGCCUCAAAGAACCUUCCUGUCCGGUUCUUCAGUGACUGUUCUUUACAGUCUUGCCUCUGCUACUUCUCUGCUAGAUCAUUAUUUAGCCCAGCUGUAUUACGGGAUCUUUUGACUUCAUGGUAUCACUGGAAAGCUUACAUGUCCUAGUGGAUGAAAAUAUUUCAAUGCAGUUUGAAUAUAUCACCCACUGUUUUUUGGUCUCCAUGGUUUAUGAUGAGAAGUCAGCUAUAACUUACUGAGGAGCCAUUGUACAUGAUGAGUUGUUUUUCUCUUGCUGCAUUCAAGAUUCUGAAGAGCGCAUUAGAAAGAGCAUGUCAAGUUCUCACCACAAAUACCAUUGGAGUUACAGUUGGAAUGGCAUUGAAUUAUAGAAUAAUUUUUGGAGAGCUGUCAUCUUUAUAAUUUUCUCAUACAUGAAGGUGCUUCUCUCUGCUGCCUUUUGUGCUGCCAGGCACAGUGCUUGGUGAUGGGGAUAUGGAGAUGAAUUAGACACGAUUCCUGCCCUCAAAGAGUUCUCAGUCUAGUGAGAGAGUUCGACAUGUACACAGAUACUUACAACAGUAUGGUAUGCUCUACAAUGGAGGUAUCAUUGUUAGUUCUUGGGACAUUCACCGCGUGACAGAAACAACAGCAGGCCCUGGUGGCUGGGAGGACUUCAUGGAUCCAACAGCAACCUGAAGAAAUCCUACUCGGAUGGAUAUAAUACAACCUGCUAAGUGUCCUAGCACUUAUCAGGUUGUAUUAUCAUUGUCCGUGUCUAUGGCUCUCGUCUACCAGACUCUAAAUUCCUAACGGGCAAGGACAGUGCCUUAUUCAUCUUUGUAUUCACAGUGCCUAAUCCGGUGCACAUUGUAGGCCUCAUUAAAUGUUUGUUGAAUGAAAAAAUGAAUCAUCAACAGACAUUAAUUGGGCGCCUGCUCUGUGAUCUCCAUGGGCUCAGCUUGUCCCCGCCAGUUGCCUACAACGUCCAAGCUGUCUUCAGUAUGCUUUCUCCUGAAGCUUACUCCUAUCUUCUAAUUCUUUUGCCAAGGACUUUUCUGUGUAGUGCAAAAAUAGCAAAUAUACUUCAUCUCAAGUACCAUCUCCAACUGAUUGAUAGUACCUGUCUUGAUUAUGUUUUAUAAAAAGGAUUCUGAAGCCAGAUCUCAGUUCAGUAUGAAAGAGGAUUAUAACUAAUUAGUGAUGUUUGCUGGGGGUGGGGGAAGGGGAGUAGCAGCACAAGUGCCACAUAUAUGUCAUAUUUAAUAUUGUAUUUUCCAUGAAAUACUCUGUUUCUAUGCCUGUAUUUUAGUCUUGGCUACUUGCAGAUGUUGCAUUGUUGCUGCUGCCACUACUACACUUGCUGCCAGUUGCUCCUUGGGUAGGACCAGAGUGAUCAUUGAUCAGAAACUUCAUCCUCACAGUCUGGGGUUUGCUCCUGUGGCUGGUAUUCACAGUUUUCCCCUUUCAACUAUACCUCAGCUAUCCCCUUACCUACAUUAACAGGUAGGCCUCCAGAUUAUCUUCACCACUCAACAGGCUCAUACUUCCUUUUUCUUAUUUAGUGUGAUAAAUCAUUAUUGCUUCAUGAGAAGCCUUCUUUCUGUUAGAAGAUGUGACAACUAGAAUACAAGUUAACCAAUUCCAUCAGGGCCCUACAGUGAGUCAUAAAAGCUCCCUUUUAAUGUAGGAGAAAAUUGAGCAUGCUCACAGACUACAGGGCAGGGAAAAGGGAGGCAUUGUACAUGUGGGAGAGAGAUGAUAACUUUUGGCUCUUAGAACACGGGUGGAGGGUUAGCCUUAGAUGAAAGGAGUUACCUCUUCACUGGGGCAUAGUGACAAGAAUAAGAGUUAGGAAGAGUACCUGAUAAGGGUGUUGAAGAUUUGUAAUUGGAGAGGUGGAUGAUAGAGAGGAAGCUGACCAGGGACAGGAUUAUGGAGACAAGAGUCUAAGGAAUAUCCAGGCCAAAAGGCUGGAUUGGAGAGCUUAUGACAUAUCAAAGUGAACAACUAGUUUGAAACUUGAUAAUAGAUUCAGGAAAAUAUAAAGUGGUCUUGGACCAUUGUUACAAGUAACAUUUGGUUGCCUGGAACUGAUCUUGAUUGAUUGAGGGAUGGACAGCUAGCAAGAGAGGAGUUAUGCAGAAAUGGAUUUGAGGAUCCAGACUGUAUAUGGAAGGAAGCUCAGAGUCUGUAAAAAAAAGAGGCCUUAGUGCAAUCAAGAUGGGUGCUGAGUAGUUGGAAAACUAGAAUGAUAGGACCUGUAUCAGAGGCUGAACUUUGGAAUGUUAAAAUUUUAAAAUUGGAGUGAUCAAGAUACCUGUGAUGGUAGGAUGUCAGAUGGUUGUUUACCUGGAUACUGAAGUGACCCAGGAUUAUAGCAAAAGCUGGGCUAGGAAUGAACACUGUAGGCUAGAUAAAAUAGGCUUCAGUGACUGAGGAAUGAUCUGGAGGUUGGCACAUGACAGUUGUGCAGAUGCAAGAGAAGAGAGGUUGUAGUGGGAUGGUAGUAUGAGCCUCAGAAGAGUGGUGGGGAUUACUAGAAGAUGCAAAAACUGUGGUUUGCCCAUUGCACUGAGGUUUUGGCUGGUAGAAUGCACAUCUAAAAUGAUCCCCUCCUUUAUUAAGUGCUUGUUCUAUAUCUGACACUUUGCUGUGUGCCAUCUGUUUAUCCCUUUUGGAUCUGUCAACAUUUCAUGUGUGAAAAUGAGCAGCAAUCCCAGGCAAGGAUAGCUAGGCUGCUGGCCCUUAACACUGGUGGAAUCCUGUGGCCAUCUCCUAACUCUUUGAAAGAGCAGCAAGGCUGGUCAUCUGGAAGUAUGAUAAAAAGAUUUGUUUAGGAUUAAAAUUUUCCCUUGACCUUGAUGUAACUUCAUUACAUGGUACAGGCUUUUGUUGGCUGUGUUCCAUAAUGUGCUUUGGCUUCUGAGCCUCUGAGUUGAGGAGUGAACUAGAACUGCCCUUUGAAAAAGACAGGCACAGUACUUGAAAAACACUCGUGUUGAUUAGAACAAGACACAGUCCUAUUAUCUAAUUGAGCUUUUAAGAUAAAGAGUAGACAAAAGAAAGCCCACAUCAGUGGGUGAAUAACAAAACCACUUUGUAAAAGCCAUUUAGCUUCAGGAUGCAUCCAGUCUGGUGGCCAUAUUGUAGAUGUUCCCUGUGCUGUUGGGAAGGAUGGCUGGAAAUUGAUGCAAAGAGAUGGCCCUUAGGACUUGGAAGGUAAAGUUUAGGAAGAGAGUCUCUCUGAACCCUCUGAAAUUGCAUGCAGUCAUUUUUCUUUUGUUAUAGUCUUCAAAUGAGCCAAUAUUCCAAUAAAGGUUUAGAGCCACUGUGUUAGAGUGACCAGACCCUCAGAUAGCCCAUCCCCUCCCAUGGGGGCUGCUCUAUAUUUAUUCCUCAGGAGGAGCUGGUAGAAGACUUCAUGAAGGAGAAGAAAAGGAAAAGAUCAGAGGAUGACUACAGCCUCUCUUCAUCCCAGCUUUGCAAAGCAUGACUCAAUAGAUAGAUCACUCUUUUGAAGACUCUCCAGACCACAGGUUGCUCUUUUCAAUUGCAUGCUUAGCCCUCUUGGCUCCUUUCAGAAGUUGUACUCUAUGUAUGUAUAUAUGAACUAUCACUUCCCAUAAAGAGGACACCAUGUAGUCAAAAAUUGCCAGAUCCCCAAUGCUGGAAUAUAGGCCACCAGAGAUGAGUUUGAGUUUCAGCAACAUAAGACCCCAACUUCAUGGAAGGAAGGUAGUCAAUUGACUUGAAAAUAACCCCAAUCCCUGCAUUCAUAUUCUUUUUCCUUCAGUCCUAUGGCUAAGAUAUCACUGAUUAAAGCAAACAAAAGCCAUGACUUUCUCCUUCCACUGGCACUUCUCUAUCCCACGUAUAUGCCACUGUGAGUCACUGUCUUUCAUUAGCACUUCUUUCCAUCUCUUAAAACCCAAGGAGGUAUGAAUACUAAGGUUGGGGUUGAAUUUGUCAUAAUUACUCUGCAGUUGGAGAAUACUCAAUGUUAAUCACCCUGAAACCAACUCCCACCUUAUCUCCUGGGGCAGCCACAGGAGACACUGUAGCCAUGGCCAGCAACUGGACCCCAGCCCCAGGGAUUACUCCUGAUGUCUCAACUGAUUAUGAAAUACCAGUAGGAGGGCUUGUUUCCCUUUCUAACUUGGUCAUCAGAGAUUAGGAUUUGCAUACAUAUGAUAUAUAAGGACACACAUCUUAUGGGUCAAUAGUAAACAGUGUCAGGUUACUUUUUGUCUCUUGGGGAUGGGCAAGAUAGGGUAUGGGGGAAGUGGAAAGUCUUGAACCUUUCAAAUAUUCCCAGUGAUUGUUCAGGACACCCCUAGUCACAUCUUCUGGUGCCUUAUCCUGUGCCUUGCCUCUCCUUUCUUCAUAAUCCUUCUAGUGCACUCCUUGCUCUCUCUAGCCACCUUUCAUCUCCUGCCCCACCCUGAUGGGUUUCAGCAGGUGUUUAUUUUCUUUUCCUUCCCCCAGGCCAUCUGUAACAGGCCCCAGAUAGGAAGAGCCUUACUGUGAAUGAGUGAAUGAAGAUUCAGUGAGUGUUGGUAGUGACACCAUGUUUCUCUCUGGAUUUAAGGAGAGAAGGAGUGCUGUGCAGAGGGGAAGGAGAGGGAAGCUAUGAAAUCCCAUUAUGGAGUAACAAAUGCUUGGCAUUUUAGUGGGUAUUAGACCUAGAAGCCUACAUGAUUGAAGGAAGCAAACCUGAGAUUUCUGAUAUUUGUGAGUGAAGAUAGGUGUUAACUCCUUAUUGCCAUUAAGAAUGAAGGGAGGAGAGAAAAGUAAAGGUCAUAAAAUCCUUUACCUCAGUGGAGAAGGCACUGAGACUCGCUUUAUGAACCUGUUAUUUUUAGAGGUAGAGUGAAGGUAAGUUGUUGUGCUGCACUUUCGUUACUCGUGAGAGUCACUGUCAGCAACUUUUCUUAGGUAGGUCUGCCCUUGUGGAGGUUUCUGUUGACCUGUAUAAAAAAAACAACCCAGGAAAAAGUUUGCAACUUAGAAGAACUCUCCAGUUCAAUAACAGGGUGUUAAAGGGGUUGAGGACAGAGGAAAUAGCACAAGUAGUACCAAAUAGCUCAGUUUUUUUGUUUUUCUUUUUAAUGGGAUGAAUGGGCCAGAGAUAGUGGGCAGAAUGGCUUCAUGCAACCCCAAACAGCAGAUAGGACAUAAGGAAACAGUACAAUGAAAGGUCACUACUUGGACGUUUGUCAUUCCCCAGAGAAUGAUGGAAUAUCUAAAGUAAAAUUAGGAGCUGCUUUGGAGAAGGGUUUUAAAAGAUUAUUUCAUAGAAGAAAGAUUUAGAAGAGGGGAAACUUCCAGUUAUAUAAGAUGGGCAUUAUAGCUUUUAAAGACAUCUGUUCCCUGUAUAGGUCAUAGAGAUUGAUACCAGUAUCAGCCUGUGGCUGAUCAGGCCAGUUUAACUAAGCAGUUUCAUGUUGCUGGAGAGAUGCUGCCACUCUCUGUCUCUCACUUUGGCAGGUAUUCAUUCAUCUGCAAUGAGUCCAGUACCUGAAGGAGCAAGACAACAACAAGCAUCCAGGGGGACAACAGUGUGGCCUUCUGAGUGAAGAUAGCAACUGAAAAGAUCAUGGGAUUGGCUGCAUUAGGCUGGGUUUGUUUCUUUUUUGAAAAUAAAAAAUGUUCUCUUUUUGAUGACAAAAGUAACAAGUGGUCAUUGUUAAAAAAUAAAGUGAAAGGUGUAAAUUAAAAAGUAAAUAAUACCUAUAAUCUUAUAACCCAGAAAAUAAUUCAUAACAUUUGCAUGUAUUUCCUUUUACUCUUUAAAAUAAGUGUAUAUAACACAGUUUAAAAAUAAAAUUGACAUUGUAUAUGUUAUUCUCUAACUUUUCUCAUUUGAGAAUAAACAAGCAUUCUCCUAUAUCAUUAGCAUUAUUUAAAAAUACAGUAUUAAGUGUCACAUAAUAUUUCAUAUGGUUCUAACAAAAUUCAUUUACAGUAAGUCCCCCUACAUAUGAACCUUCAAGUUGCAAACUUUCAAAGAUGCGAACGUGUGUUCACAUGUCCAGUCAUGUAAGUUAGUUCACGUGUCUGGUGUACAUUGUCACGUGCAUGCAUCUUCUACAAGUGGUUGUGCUUUUGUGUACUUUACUGUACCAUACUGUAUAGAGCAUAGUAGUACAGUAUCUUUAUUUCAGGCCCAGAAUGUGAGUGAAACUGAAGCUUACCCAGCCGCCUAGCACAGGGAGAUCAGCUCGGUGCUUUGUGACCACCUAGAGGGGUGGGAUAGGGAGGAUGGGAGGGAGACGCAAGAGGGAAGAGAUAUGGGGAUAUAUGUAUAUGUAUAGCUGAUUCACUUUGUUAUAAAGCAGAAACUAACAAACCAUUGUAAAGCAAUUAUACUCCAAUAAAGAUGUUAAAUAAAAAAAGUAUUUUUAAAUUAAGGUUAAAAAAAAAAUUGAAGCUUACCUAUUGCUGAUGAUCCUUCAGCUCUACCGUCUCCCACCUCUUCUCCCUCCAGUCAGUAACUCUUCUUGCCUGUUCACUUGAUGCCAGCCCCUGUAUGCCAGCUGUUAUACUGUACUAGUGUACUUUUCAAGGUACUGUACUCUAAGAUUAAAAAUGUUUUCUUUAUUUUUCGUGUUUGUUUUUUAUGUAUUAUUUGUGUAAAAGUAUUAUAAACCUAUUAUAGUACAGUACUAUAUAGCCUAUUGUGUUAGUUGGGUACCUAGGCUAACUUUGUUGGACUUACGAACAAAUUGGACUUAUGAACACGCUCUUGGAAUGGAACUUGUUUGUAUAUAGGGGACUUACUGUGGAUGAUCCCAUGAUGCAGACAUUUUGGAUAUUAUCAAUUUUGCCUAUAAAAUUAAAAUAUAAUGAACAUAAUUGCACAUUAACCUUUAUUGCAUCUCUAUUUCUUUAGAAUAAAUUUCUAGAAUUGGAAUUACUGAGUUUGAUGAGAGCAUUAUUAGGGCACCUGAAAGGUGUUGUUGAAUUGUCCUCAAUAUUGUACAAAUAACAUUCCCAUCAGUGGUACAUAAAUGUGCAUCAAAAUAUGCCCUUUCCUUUUAUAAAUCUCUCAUCAUUUGACAGGCAAAAAUAUCCAUUUGUUUGAGAUUUUUAUUUCUAAGUUGCAUACACUAAAAUUCAUUCCUAUCAUGUAUAGUUCUAUAGUUUUGACAAGUAUAGAGUCAUGUAUCCUUCCACUCCAGUACCAUACACAAUUGUUUUAGCAUUAAUAAUUUCUCUUGAUUGCUCUUUUUGUUGUAAACCCUUUCCCUCAAUCCCUGGAAACCACCUAUUUGUUCUCCAUCCCUAUGGUUUUGCCUUUUCCAGAAGGUUAUAUGAAUGGAGUCGUGCAAUAUGUAGACCUUUUGAUCUGGCUUCUUUCACUUAGUAAAAUGCAUUUAAGUAUCAUCUAUAUUGUUAUGUAAAUCAAUAUUCAUUAUUUUUAUUGUUGUACUUCACUAUAUGGAUGUACCAGCUUUUAAUCCAUUCACUAAUUGAUGGACAUGAGAGAUAUUUCCAGUUUAGGCCAUUAUGAAUAAAGUUGCUAUAAACUCUCA
Long non-coding RNA from Globicephala melas (long-finned pilot whale), 8730 nucleotides. RefSeq lists it as uncharacterized. Lineage: Eukaryota; Metazoa; Chordata; Mammalia; Artiodactyla; Delphinidae. The record is from RefSeq and is a predicted model, not a curated record.